Molecule: ribosomal RNA, 728 nt
Filed under: uncultured archaeon
Lineage: Archaea
Description: bacterial SSU rRNA
Rfam family: Archaeal small subunit ribosomal RNA
Source: RNAcentral
AUAACCCCGGGAAACUGGGGAUAAUACCCCAUAGGCUAUGAAUGCUGGAAUGCUUCGUAGUUAAAAGGUCAGCCGCCAUAGGAUGGGUCUGCGGCCGAUUAGGUAGUUGUUGGGGUAACGGCCCAACAAGCCUGUAAUCGGUACGGGUUGUGGGAGCAAGAGCCCGGAGAUGGAUUCUGAGACACGAAUCCAGGCCCUACUGGGCGCAGCAGGCGCGAAAACUUUACAAUGCGGGAAACCGUGAUAAGGGAACUCCGAGUGCCCGUUAAAUCGGGCUGUCCAUCAGUUUAAAAAACUGGUGAAGAAAGGGCCGGGCAAGACCGGUGCCAGCCGCCGCGGUAAUACCGGCGGCUCGAGUGGUGGCCACUAUUACUGGGCUUAAAGCGUUCGUAGCUGGUUUGUUAAGUCUCUGGGGAAAUCUUCCGGCUUAACCGGAAGGCGUCUCAGGGAUACUGGCAGACUAGGGACCGGAAGAGGUGAGGGGUACCCCAGGGGUAGGAGUGAAAUCCUGUAAUCCUUGGGGGACCACCUGUGGCGAAGGCGCCUCACCAGGACGGCUCCGACAGUGAGGGACGAAAGCUGGGGGAGCAAACCGGAUUAGAUACCCGGGUAGUCCCAGCCGUAAACGAUGUGCGUUAGGUGUAUCGGUGACCACGAGUCACCGAGGUGCCGAAGAGAAAUCGUGAAACGUACCGCCUGGGAAGUACGGUCGCAAGGCUGAAACUUAA